CCUACGGGAGGCAGCAGUGAGGAAUAUUGGACAAUGGGCGCAAGCCUGAUCCAGCCAUGCCGCGUGCAGGAUGACGGUCCUAUGGAUUGUAAACUGCUUUUAUACAGGAAGAAACACCUCUACGUGUAGAGACUUGACGGUACUGUAAGAAUAAGGAUCGGCUAACUCCGUGCCAGCAGCCGCGGUAAU
RNAcentral lists this ribosomal RNA (189 nucleotides) under uncultured bacterium. Its description in RNAcentral is "partial 16S ribosomal RNA". It matches the Rfam family "Bacterial small subunit ribosomal RNA", at positions 338 to 524 of the family's 1533-position model. The record is from RNAcentral.